UCCUGGGGUGAGAGGGGAAUUCUGGACCGUAGCAAGACGGACUACAGCGAAAGCAUUUGGCAAGAAUGUCUUCAUUAAUCAAGAACGAAAGUCAGAGGUUCGAAGGCGAUCAGAUACCGCCCUAGUUCUGACCGUAAACGAUGCCAACUAGCGAUCCGCCGGCGGAUUCAUUCGCCCUGGUGGGGAGCUUCCCGGAAACGAAAGUCUUCCGGUUCCGGGGGAAGUAUGGUUGCAAAGCUGAAACUUAAAGGAAUUGACGGAAGGGCACCACCAGGAGUGGAGCCUGCGGCUUAAUUUGACUCAACACGGGGAAACUCACCCGGCCCGGACACCGUAAGGAUUGACAGAUUGAUAGCUUUUUCAUGAUUCGGUGGAUGGUGGUGCAUGGCCGUUCUUAGUUCGUGGAGCGAUUUGUCUGGUUUAUUCCGAUAACGAGCGAGACUCUAGCCUACUAAAUAGUUGACUCAUUGCCGCUGUGGGCACAACUUCUUAGAGGGAUUUUCGGUGUUCAGCCGCACGAAAUUGAGCAAUAACAGGUCUGUGAUGCCCUUAGAUGUCCGGGGCUGCACGCGCGCUACACUGGCAAAAUCAGCGUGCUUGUCCUUCCCCGAAAGGGGUUGGUAAACCGGUGAAAAUUUGCCGUGAUUGGGAUCGGACAUUGCAAUUAUUGUCCGUGAACGAGGAAUUCCUUGUAGGGGCGAGUCAUCAACUCGCUCUGAAUACGUCCCUGCCCUUUGUACACACCGCCCGUCGCUGCCCGGGACUGAGCCAUUUCGAGAAACUCGGGGACGAUUAGUGUGUCAGCUUCGGCUGUCGCGCAGAUGGAACCGAUUAAUCGCAGUC
This 843-nucleotide ribosomal RNA is filed under the name Heterodera goettingiana. RNAcentral describes it as "SSU rRNA". It matches the Rfam family "Eukaryotic small subunit ribosomal RNA", at positions 898 to 1770 of the family's 1831-position model. Lineage: Eukaryota; Metazoa; Nematoda; Chromadorea; Rhabditida; Heteroderidae. The record is from RNAcentral.